RNAcentral lists this ribosomal RNA (495 nucleotides) under uncultured bacterium. Its description in RNAcentral is "partial 16S ribosomal RNA". It matches the Rfam family "Bacterial small subunit ribosomal RNA", at positions 28 to 507 of the family's 1533-position model. The record is from RNAcentral.
GAUGAACGCUGGCGGCGUGCCUAAUACAUGCAAGUAGAACGCUGAAGGAGGAGCUUGCUCUUCUGGAUGAGUUGCGAACGGGUGAGUAACGCGUAGGUAACCUGCCUGGUAGCGGGGGAUAACUAUUGGAAACGAUAGCUAAUACCGCAUGACAACAGUUAUUGCAUGAUAACUGUUUAAAAGGGGCAACUGCUCCACUACCAGAUGGACCUGCGUUGUAUUAGCUAGUUGGUGAGGUAACGGCUCACCAAGGCGACGAUACAUAGCCGACCUGAGAGGGGGAUCGGCCACACUGGGACUGAGACACGGCCCAGACUCCUACGGGAGGCAGCAGUAGGGAAUCGUCGGCAAUGGACGGAAGUCUGACCGAGCAACGCCGCGUGAGUGAAGAAGGUUGUCGGAUCGUAAAGCUCGGUUGUAAGAGAAGAACGAGUGUGAGAGUGGAAAGUUCACACUGUGACGGUAUCUGACCAGAAAGGGACGGCUAACUACGUG